Molecule: long non-coding RNA, 1513 nt
Organism: Alligator sinensis (Chinese alligator)
Lineage: Eukaryota; Metazoa; Chordata; Crocodylia; Alligatoridae
Exons: 3
Source: RefSeq, a predicted model, not a curated record
ACUCAGCCUUGCUCUAGCCUGGAGCAUUCAUAUUAACCUAUCCUGUCCUCUGUUUGGACUCUCCAGUUCCUGACCUUUGGCCUGACUUGGACUAUGAACAUGGAUAUCAUUUGUGAUUAGAAAUGUGACUUUGACUAUCUGCUUUUGACUCCUUUGGCCUAGACUGUGGAUCUGGAUUCUACUGGCUCAGGAAAAUCAGGAUGAAGACCAGGAGAGCAGGGACAGAAGCAGCAAACAUCAUCCAGAUUGGGAAAUCACGUUGUGGUCCCAGUGGAUGAAUAAUCCAGCCCUGAUCACUGGAAUUGGAGCUCUGUCAGUAAAAUGUCAGGGAGCUGCUGGAUUGCACACAGAGCUUGCUGAGCCUGCAGUGUGGAGUGGUCCAAAUUCGAAGACCCCUUAAUGUGUGGGGGGUCAUGAAUUAACUGUAAUCAGGUAACAUAGGUUUAAAUAUGAUGUAUAUGUCUAUACAGUGUUGUAAAGCAUGCCUGUUAUACCACUUACACAUUUGAAGAAAAUGCAUUAUUUUCUUAGUUUAGAUAAAUACACACGCCACAUACUAAUGCCAGCCAACUGCAUGCAGCCUCCAAAUUUCACCCUACCAUACAUCUGUAUGUCACACUUAUAGGCAAUGUAGACACAAUAUGCCAUCUGCAUGCCCAUUAUACAUAUGCGUUUUGCACACACAUGCACACACUCUACAAACAUGCUACACAUACACAUCCACACAAUCAUAUUCAGGACCGUUAUAGAUCAUGAUUUACACAUGCAAUCCUUUCAUUUUCACACAAACAAGUGCACCCAAACUCAAUACACAUCAUGAGUAACCAUGCCCAGCAACAUAGCCGUGCACACACAGCUACAUUGUCUUUACACAAUCAUGUGCUCACACAUGUAGGUAUCUCCAUCCAGAAUCAAACACAUGCAACUGUACACACUCCCUCUAUCUCCUAUAUGCAAAGUUACACACUCAACCACAUGCAUGUGCAAAACACAUAAACACCUGACAUCACAUAUCACUGCUGCACAAGCCCAUUCCUACCCAUAUGGACACUCCCACACCUGAACUAAAUACACAUGUCCUGUUGCAAGUGUAAUCCCAACUUCAUACAUAGGCACAUGCGUGUGCAAUGCAUGCAACCAUACCCUCAGCCCCCUACCCUGCACACACGCAUACACUAUUGCAAGCAUAUUUUCUUAUGAUCUCCCGCAUGCAUUUGCACUCCACACACACCAACACAAAUAGCUAAGAGGAAGAACUGUGCCUAGCUCUGGGAGAGGAUCUGGAAGGAAAAGACAGCCGCACUCUGCAGACCAGCCUGCCAUCAGACCAGAGAAAGACACUGUGGACAAACAGACAACGGGACUCAAUGCCUCAGUGACAUAUGUAGCACCACCCUGGAAGAUCACGCAACUAGUGCGAGGCCUGUCACCUUGGCAACCUUGGGCUAGCUUGCCAUGGCAAUUACACCUCAUUGAACUGAACUGAAGAGCAGUCUUCAUGCUCGGCCCCCAU